Molecule: transfer RNA, 65 nt
Filed under: Parvasolenaia rivularis
Lineage: Eukaryota; Metazoa; Mollusca; Bivalvia; Unionida; Unionidae
Description: Solenaia rivularis tRNA-Asp
Source: RNAcentral
UAAAGAAUUAGUUAACUAAUAACUUAAGCUUGUCAAGCUUGGAUUGCCUGUGCGGCAUUCUUUAG